Molecule: unclassified non-coding RNA, 200 nt
Filed under: Hysteriales sp.
Lineage: Eukaryota; Fungi; Ascomycota; Dothideomycetes; Hysteriales
Description: partial internal transcribed spacer 2
Source: RNAcentral
UUAAGUUCAGCGGGUAUCCUCACCUGAUCCGAGGUCAAACUUUAGGGUAUGAUUACCUGGCGGGCACCGCCGCGGACUCCUGAAGCGAAAUUUUUGCUACGCUUGAAGCCGGACUGCACCGCCGACGGGUUACGGACGGGUCACUCGACCGCGUCCAAGACCAAGCUAAGCUUGAUGGUUUAAAUGACGCUCGAACAGGC